This 467-nucleotide ribosomal RNA is filed under the name uncultured Acidovorax sp. RNAcentral describes it as "bacterial SSU rRNA". It matches the Rfam family "Bacterial small subunit ribosomal RNA", at positions 917 to 1381 of the family's 1533-position model. Lineage: Bacteria; Pseudomonadati; Pseudomonadota; Betaproteobacteria; Burkholderiales; Comamonadaceae. The record is from RNAcentral.
GACGGGACCGCACAAGGCGUGGAUGAUGUGGUUUAAUUCGAUGCAACGCGAAAACCUUACCCACCUUUGACAUGUACGGAGUCCUUUAGAGAUAGAGGAGUGCUCGAAAGAGAGCCGUAACACAGGUGCUGCAUGGCUGUCGUCAGCUCGUGUCGUGAGAUGUUGGGUUAAGUCCCGCAACGAGCGCAACCCUUGUCAUUAGUUGCUACAUUCAGUUGGGCACUCUAAUGAGACUGCCGGUGACAAACCGGAGGAAGGUGGGGAUGACGUCAAGUCCUCAUGGCCCUUAUAGGUGGGGCUACACACGUCAUACAAUGGAUGGUACAAAGGGUCGCCAACCCGCGAGGGGGAGCCAAUCCCAUAAAGCCAUUCGUAGUCCGGAUCGCAGUCUGCAACUCGACUGCGUGAAGUCGGAAUCGCUAGUAAUCGUGGAUCAGAAUGUCACGGUGAAUACGUUCCCGGGUCUU